AGAAAAAUAAGAAAUCAGAUACUGAGAUGCUUUUCUCAAAUCAAAUUUGUACAGGAUCAUACCCAAACAGUCAAAACGUGCACAUAUUAGCCUUAUUAAAGAUUUACGAAAAAAUCCAAAAAAUAAAAAAUCAAUUACUGAGAUGCUUUUCUCAAAUCAAAUUGGUACAGGAUCAUACCCAAACAGUCAAAACGUGCACAUAUUAGCCUUAUUAAAGAUUUACGAAAAAAUUCGAAAAAUAAAAAAUCAAUUACUGAGAUGCUUUUCUCAAAUCAAAGUGGUACAGGAUCAUACCCAAACAGUCAAAACAUGCACAUAUUAGCCUUAUUAAAGAUUUAUGAAAAGAUCCUCGAAUCGUCACAUACAUGCUUUUCCCAUACAAAAUUACCCAUAUUGACUAAGAGGCAUAAAAAUGUGAAGUUGCAAUAAGUUAGGCGUGUUUUCACAUACCAGAAAGAGACGAACAAAUUGACUCAACAUUCAAGUUAAGCGUCACGAAAUUUCAAUCAAGCAGGACU
This 518-nucleotide long non-coding RNA is filed under the name Capsicum annuum. Its description in RNAcentral is "long non-coding RNA (CANN_LNC016498)". The record is from RNAcentral. Lineage: Eukaryota; Viridiplantae; Streptophyta; Magnoliopsida; Solanales; Solanaceae.